AUAUAUGGUGGUCAUGCGCAGGGCCUCCUUGGGGGCGCCGGUUCCAGUACUCCGGUCUACCAACCUGUGUAUGGCCACCACCUUC
This 85-nucleotide non-coding RNA is filed under the name Pseudomonas moorei. Lineage: Bacteria; Pseudomonadati; Pseudomonadota; Gammaproteobacteria; Pseudomonadales; Pseudomonadaceae. The record is from RNAcentral.